GAGCCCAAGAUUGAAAGCUGGCGUCUUCGGCGUCCGCAUUGUAAUCUCAAGAAGUGUUUUCCGCUUCGGACCAAGCCUAAGUCCCCUGGAAAGGGGCAUCAUAGAGGGUGAUAAUCCCGUACAUGGCUUGGAGCGCCCGAGGCUUUGUGAUACGCUUUCUAAGAGUCGAGUUGUUUGGGAAUGCAGCUCAAAAUGGGUGGUAAAUGCCAUCUAAGGCUAAAUAUUGGGGAGAGACCGAUAGCGAACAAGUACAGUGAUGGAAAGAUGAAAAGAACUUUGAAAAGAGAGUUAAACAGUACGUGAAAUUGCCAAAAGGGAAGGGUAGGAGGUCAGAGAUGCGGCCUGGGAUUCAGCCUUGCUUUUGCUUGGUGUUCUUCCCAGAUUGCAGGCCAACGUCGGUUUUGGGCACUGGAGAAGGGUAGGAGGAACGUGGCACCCCUCGGGGUGUGUUAUAGCCUCCUACUGGAUACAGCGACCGAGACCGAGGACAGCAGCGUACUCGCAAGAGCGGGCCUUCGGGCACCUUUACGCUUAGGGCGUUGGCAUAAUGGCCCUCUACCACCCGUCUUGA
This 571-nucleotide ribosomal RNA is filed under the name uncultured Pseudozyma. Its description in RNAcentral is "LSU rRNA". It matches the Rfam family "Eukaryotic large subunit ribosomal RNA", at positions 104 to 657 of the family's 3401-position model. Lineage: Eukaryota; Fungi; Basidiomycota; Ustilaginomycetes; Ustilaginales; Ustilaginaceae. The record is from RNAcentral.